UCCAGCCUGCCCAAAUCCCUCUUCAGAGCCUUCCUGUUCUCCAGAAGACCAACACUCCCAUCUAACUUGGUAUCACCUGCAAACAUAUUAAGGGUGUACUUGAUCCCUCAUCCAGGUCACCUAUGAAGAUAUAAACGAGGCAGGCCUAAAUACUGAGCCCUGGAGAACACCACUUGAGAUAAGCCACCAACAGGAAUUAACUCCAUUUAUCAUUUAAAAAGCUACCUAAUGGAAGGGUUUAGAGAAGAAAUAUGUGGGACCUUCUCAGAAGCAUGCAGAAGGAAAGAGGGUGAUGCAGAAAGGAAAACCUUUUCACUGGGAAGGUAGACAAACACCGGAAAAGGGAGUAGAUGUAUGUAAUAAGAAAGACACGUACAAAAAUUCUUCAUAAGGCUGGAUGGGUAAAGGUAAUAUACAACGUGGCAGAGGCAGCACCUCUGCUGAGGAUCCCAGAAAUGGAGGCGAAGCCAAUUCUGGAACGCGUUUGCCGCAUGUCAAAGGUGAUGAAUGGGAGAUGAUUUAUUAAGUCACCUGGGCUGUUCACUUCUGUGCCAGGGUUUGUUCCAACAGUGUUUCUGUGUGUUUAAUGGAUUAAUGCAGUUCAAUGAAGUUUAUUCAUGAAAGAGAA
This is a long non-coding RNA of Vidua chalybeata, 628 nucleotides long. RefSeq lists it as uncharacterized. The transcript is spliced from 4 exons. NCBI's taxonomy places the organism in Eukaryota, Metazoa, Chordata, Aves, Passeriformes, Viduidae. The record is from RefSeq and is a predicted model, not a curated record.